CACGUAGGGCGCAAGCGUUGUCCGGAAUUAUUGGGCGUAAAGAGCUCGUAGGCGGUCUGUUGCGUCCGCUGUGAAAACUCGGGGCUUAACCCCGAGCCUGCAGUGGAUACGGGCAGACUAGAGGUAGGUAGGGGAGAAUGGAAUUCCCGGUGUAGCGGUGGAAUGCGCAGAUAUCGGGAGGAACACCGGUGGCGAAGGCGGCUCUCUGGGCCUUACCUGACGCUGAGGAGCGAAAGCGUGGGGAGCGAACAGG
This 253-nucleotide ribosomal RNA is filed under the name uncultured bacterium. RNAcentral's name for it is "partial 16S ribosomal RNA". It matches the Rfam family "Bacterial small subunit ribosomal RNA", at positions 524 to 776 of the family's 1533-position model. The record is from RNAcentral.